This 514-nucleotide ribosomal RNA is filed under the name uncultured bacterium. RNAcentral's name for it is "partial 16S ribosomal RNA". It matches the Rfam family "Bacterial small subunit ribosomal RNA", at positions 28 to 523 of the family's 1533-position model. The record is from RNAcentral.
GACGAACGCUGGCGGCAUGCCUAAUACAUGCAAGUCGAGCGAACAGAUGAGAGGCUUGCUUCUCUGAUGUUAGCGGCGGACGGGUGAGUAACACGUGGGUAACCUACCUAUAAGACUGGGAUAACUCCGGGAAACCGGGGCUAAUACCGGAUAAUAUUUUGAACCGCAUGGUUCAAUAGUGAAAGACGGUUUCGGCUGUCACUUAUAGAUGGACCCGCGCCGUAUUAGCUAGUUGGUAAGGUAACGGCUUACCAAGGCGACGAUACGUAGCCGACCUGAGAGGGUGAUCGGCCACACUGGAACUGAGACACGGUCCAGACUCCUACGGGAGGCAGCAGUAGGGAAUCUUCCGCAAUGGGCGAAAGCCUGACGGAGCAACGCCGCGUGAGUGAUGAAGGUCUUCGGAUCGUAAAACUCUGUUGUUAGGGAAGAACAAAUUUGUUAGUAACUGAACAAGUCUUGACGGUACCUAACCAGAAAGCCACGGCUAACUACGUGCCAGCCGCCGCUGUAA